This 301-nucleotide ribosomal RNA is filed under the name uncultured bacterium. Its description in RNAcentral is "partial 16S ribosomal RNA". It matches the Rfam family "Bacterial small subunit ribosomal RNA", at positions 509 to 807 of the family's 1533-position model. The record is from RNAcentral.
CAGUCGCCACGGGAAUACGAAGGGUGCAAGCGUUAAUCGGAAUUACUGGGCGUAAAGCGCGCGUAGGUGGUUUGGUAAGAUGGAUGUGAAAUCCCCGGGCUCAACCUGGGAACUGCAUCCAUAACUGCCUGACUAGAGUACGGUAGAGGGUGGUGGAAUUUCCUGUGUAGCGGUGAAAUGCGUAGAUAUAGGAAGGAACACCAGUGGCGAAGGCGACCACCUGGACUGAUACUGAAACUGAGGUGCGAAAGCGUGGGGAGCAAACAGGAUUAGAUACCCGCGUAGUCCCUGUCUCUUAUAC